Stegodyphus mimosarum is the source of this 73-nucleotide non-coding RNA. NCBI's taxonomy places the organism in Eukaryota, Metazoa, Arthropoda, Arachnida, Araneae, Eresidae. The record is from Rfam.
GUCUUCAUGGUGUAGUGUUCAGCACGCUCGACGCGUAACCGAGAGGUCCGUGGUUCGAUUCCCGGCGAAGGCG